GGGGACGGUGAUUCGGCUGAAGCUUACCUAUAGGUAAUCAUCUGCCUGUGAAGCCGGAGGCCAUGGGUUCGAGUCCCAUCGGCCCCGCCA
RNAcentral lists this transfer RNA (90 nucleotides) under Desulfomicrobium macestii. RNAcentral's name for it is "tRNA-His". The record is from RNAcentral. Lineage: Bacteria; Pseudomonadati; Thermodesulfobacteriota; Desulfovibrionia; Desulfovibrionales; Desulfomicrobiaceae.